RNAcentral lists this ribosomal RNA (460 nucleotides) under uncultured bacterium. RNAcentral describes it as "partial 16S ribosomal RNA". It matches the Rfam family "Bacterial small subunit ribosomal RNA", at positions 338 to 795 of the family's 1533-position model. The record is from RNAcentral.
CCUACGGGUGGCAGCAGUGAGGAAUAUUGGUCAAUGGACGAGAGUCUGAACCAGCACAGUCGCGUAAAGGAUGACUGCCCUAUGGGUUGUAAACUUCUUUUAUAUGGGAAUAAAAUGUUCCACGUGUGGGAUUUUGUAUGUACCAUUUGAAUAAGGAUCGGCUAACUCCGUGCCAGCAGCCGCGGUAAUACGGAGGAUCCGAGCGUUAUCCGGAUUUAUUGGGUUUAAAGGGAGCGUAGGUGGAUUGUUAAGUCAGUUGUGAAAGUUUGCGGCUCAACCGUAAAAUUGCAGUUGAAACUGGCAGUCUGGAGUACAGUAGAGGUGGGCGGAAUGCGUGGUGUAGCGGUGAAAUGCUUAGAUAUCACGAAGAACUCCGAUUGCGAAGGCAGCUCACUGGACUGCAACUGACACUGAGGCUCGAAAGUGUGGGUAUCAAACAGGAUUAGAUACCCCUGUAGUC